UACAAAGCCGAACCGUUCUUUCAAAAGCAAGGUUUGGCCCGUUUUGGAAGCCAGGCUUUUGAGAAACUAGGUUUAGUCGGGAGUCCUGAGAAGGCGGUUUCAGAGAGAUGAAACGACUGAUCUUCCAGAGCUAGGAAAGCCUAUCUGGGGGCAUGUCAUGUUGCCCAAGGACAUAGCCAAGCUGGUCCCUAAAACGCAUUUGAUGUCUGAAUCUGAAUGGAGAAAUCUUGGCGUUCAGCAGAGUCAGGGAUGGGUCCAUUAUAUGAUCCAUGAACCAGAUUUCACUAAUUCUUUCAGAACCUCACAUCUUACUCUUCCGGCGGCCACUACCCAAGAAGCCAAAGAAAUGAAGCUGUUGACCCACCUUUCAGCCUCAAGCUUUACACAGCUGUCCUUCCUACACCUUCUGAUAGCAUGAUUAUGUUGCUUUCUUAUUUCUCACUUUGAUAUUUAAAGGAUGUUUGUUCAAAACACUGUUUGAAUGUGUUGGUACCUGCUUUGCUUCUUGAGCUGAGCCACCAAUGCCACAACCUGUCAGAUGAGUGUGACCUCAAAGACCUAGUGUGCUCUUUAUCCAGCAGGCAUAUCCAUACUUGCCAUCUCUGGGAAGCAUGUGAAAAUCAGAUCAUGGCUGUUACAGGGAUAGUGUGAAUUUGCUGUUGUAGUUUUUACUAUUGGGUAUUGUAUUUAUGGUGACUUACCGAUUUAUGUUUCAAUAUAUUGGAAACUUUCCAUUUUAUAUGACAAAUCUCUUCUAUGUUACAAGCCUUGAUUAAAGGAAGUUUUUAUAA
This is a non-coding RNA of Cricetulus griseus (Chinese hamster), 791 nucleotides long. NCBI's taxonomy places the organism in Eukaryota, Metazoa, Chordata, Mammalia, Rodentia, Cricetidae. The record is from RefSeq and is a predicted model, not a curated record.